CCACCAGCCUCUCGUCUCUGAUUCUCCACCGAGACCUGCAAGUGUGCUUCCUAUCAGGGAAUCUUAUGCCAUGGACCUGGGUCCCUUCACCGGAGAAUUGGGGAAAUGCUGGGGAUUCCUCAUGCAAUGCUCCAUGGUGUUUAAUCAACAGCCGCUGACUUUUCCUUCGGACCAAACUAAGCCAUCAGACUAGACAAUCGCCUGCAUGACCGACGCUGGGAGAGGGCUAGUCACUCCAGUUCUUCCGCCAACUCGCACUUCUCAACUCCACCUUCCGUGAGAACACACUGGUAUCCACCAGCAAAUCACUCCAUUCCGCCCUCUACACUGCCACCGGAGGAGCCCAUGCAGCUUGGCCAAGCUCAUCUCUCCCUGGCUGAACACACCCAUAGGAGGAACACGGGAAGUUGCAGUCAGCUUGGUCAUCUCUGUGUAUCCUGUCCUAUUUGGCCAAAAGAUCAGACUCACCACGCAGUGGGGGUAGUGCUCUUGUCAAUUCAGGUGCUGAUGACCAAGAAAUGGCAUUACAGCAUGGAAUCCCAUUGGAGCCACUGGAGAAGCCCCUCAUCACCAUUGGAUCACAGGCUCUUGGCCCAAGUGACUCACCAUAUGGUACCGUCACUUUAGUUCUAUCUGGUUAUCAUUGUGAAACAAUCCAACUUAACAUUAUUACUUCCCCUGAUUCCUCGCUUGUUCUAACCCACACAUGGCUAGGUCUCCAUAACCCACACAUCGACUGGUCUGCUGGCCAAAUCAUCAGCUGGCAUUCUUUCUGCCUCUCUACCUGGCUGCAAUCCGCACUCCCACCGACAGAUGGCACCAACACUCCAGCUCUGGAUCCUCCUGAUCUGACGUCCAUUCCUGCAGUCUACCACGACUUGGGUGAGGUUUUCAGGAAGGAUUUGGUUUAUCCGUGAAUCUCUGGCAGCAGGCAUCAUUCGCUCUUCAUCCUCUCCAGUCAAUGCAGGGUUUUUCUUUGUGACCAAGAAGGACAAAUCUUUUCGCCCCUGCAUCGACUAUUGAGGCUUGAACAACAUCACAGUGAAGAACAAAUAUACUCAUCCCCUGUAUAAUGCUGCUUUUGAGCCGCUAGGGGAGCCACCAUCUUUACUAAGCUCAACCUCAGAAAUGCCUACCACCUGGUCAGGAUCCGCAAGGGGGACGAGUGGAAGACAGCGUUCAACACACCCCACGGGCCGAAUACCGUCAUGCUGUUCGCUCUUACCAACGCACCUGCAGUCUUCCAGGCGUUGGUAGAUGAUGGAGGGGUCGGAGUUGCCAUUCGUAGUGUGGACUGACUACAAGAACCUGGCCUACACUCAAUCUGCCAAAAGACUCAACCCUCAACAGCCCCGGUGGGACCUGUUCUUUGGCUGCUUCAACUUUCCCUCACCUACUUGUCUCACCUGCUCUCCAUCCACAAAUCAACACCUGCAGUAUAUCUACCGGCUCUUACCAGUCUUCAACAGAUCUUCACUUUACCCAAGUGGUACUUCGCUUCGGCCUCUGACUUGCCUCACUGAAAGAUUUGCCUGCAUGUUUUCUGAGCCACUGACUAGCUCUCUGACUCCCUGUGUUCAGGUUCAUUCCAUCCACCUGCCUCCAAGUUACUCACCGACUUUCCAGAGAGAUUUCACCACGGAUCCUCAGCUGCUCCACCUCAGCCAGCUGUCUUCACUCCACCUGCCUGCUCUCACCAGUCUCAUUCCAGCCUGCUGUU
Long non-coding RNA from Siniperca chuatsi (mandarin fish), 1720 nucleotides. RefSeq lists it as uncharacterized. The record is from RefSeq and is a predicted model, not a curated record. The transcript is spliced from 3 exons. Lineage: Eukaryota; Metazoa; Chordata; Actinopteri; Centrarchiformes; Sinipercidae.